RNAcentral lists this unclassified non-coding RNA (257 nucleotides) under fungal sp. RNAcentral's name for it is "partial internal transcribed spacer region". The stretch from base 1 to 46 matches the Rfam family "Eukaryotic small subunit ribosomal RNA", at positions 1786 to 1831 of the family's 1831-position model. The record is from RNAcentral. Lineage: Eukaryota; Fungi.
AAGUCGUAACAAGGUUUCCGUAGGUGAACCUGCGGAAGGAUCAUUAACAAAUUUCAAAAACUUGUCUUGCUAUCAGGUGGUGACAGUUGUGUGUUUGUGUUCCAACAUAUAUUUGUUGGAACGAAGGCGCAUAUACCGUUCAUCAUCCUGGUAGUUUGUACACAACAUUAACAUUUAUGAUUGACAAAUAAUGGAGAACCAAUUUAUUAAAAUUAAUAGUUUAUAAACAACUUUUAACAAUGGAUCUCUUGGCUCUU